CGGCCAUUUUUUUUUUUGUAUUUUUAGUAGAGACAGGGUUUCACCAUGUUGGCCAGGCUGGCCUCAAAGUCCUGACCUCAGGUGAUCCACCUGCAUCGGCCUCCCAGAGUGCUAGGAUUACAGGUGUGAGCCAUUGCGCCCAGCCUCCAGCUAAUUUUUAAAAUUUUUUUGUAGAAACGAGGUCUCACUAUGUUGCCCAGGCUAGUCCCCAAUUCCUGGGCUCAAGUGAUCCUCCUGCCUUGGCCUGCUACAGUGCUGAGAUUCCAGGCAUGAGCCAUCCCUGCCUGGCCCAAGAACAACAGUUAUUGCAGCAAAGAAAGAGUUUAAUAAUCACUAAGCAAUGGCAAGUCAUUAAUGCUUCCUAGUCCUUAGCGAAGUUUAAUCCCCUACCAUAAUUCUAAUUUUGUUUUAUGAAUGUACCUUUAAUCUCCAGACAAGAAAGGGGAUCAGUUUCCCUUGACUCCAAGUUUAACUAUGACUACAUUCCUCUCAUAGUUUUAUUGGUCUCUCUACUAUAAUAAGCAAAACAAAAACAAGUGAGCAGUUAAGGUUAAAAGCAAGAUGGAGUUGGUCAUGUUAGAGUUCUCUCAUUAUUUAUAAUUAUGCAAGGGUGGUUUUAGGAUUAAUUGGCAUAGAAGUGUCUUCUUGGCUUGAACCUUCAGCAGGAUUUUCUGAGACUAUACUCUGGAAUAAAAAUGUGUGUGUGACGAGUGCCAAUCACUAUGAUCUGUUAUACGAAAGAAGGACCAGACAAAAGGCAACCUUCAUUUUACAUUCACAAGAUGCCAGACCCAGGGCCCAGCUACCCGAAGAGAAAGUGAAGGACUUGGAAUGCAGUCGGCUCUACCUGACUUCCAUCCUGCUUGUAAGUAAUGAGGAAGAAACAAAAGUGAAGAAGCGGGGAAUACAAGAGAUCAGUAUACAAAGAGGAUAGACUGUAUUUCUGUUUAAAUAGAUGAAAUCUAUAUUCAAAUUCAGGCAGAAAAAAAAAGAAAAUUGAGGCAGAAGAGGAGGAAAAAACCUUCCCUAGCUUUUCACUUGCUGACUUUGUUACAAGACAAAGUUACACAAACCCACUGAACUCUUUCAGCCUGUUUUUCCACUCUGCUUAGACAAUCCUAUAGUCUUUUUCCUAUUUUUAACACGAUAGGCUGCUUGGCAUCCACCCUCUAAUCAUAGAAGGAUGCUACCCAAACCAGAGUGCAUAAAAUUGAUUCCAAUUGUAAUGAGCCCUGAGGAGUUUAUCGAAAAUCUUUCAUGCUUUCAACUUUGCUUGUAAACAACAUCAUUUUACUCACAGACAAAGAAGAGUUUGCCAAUUGCAGACAGACUGUGUCAUCAAUGGAGUCACAGGGUGUGUCUGCUGGAAUUGAGCCUCCCUGUGCUAUUGGUGGUGAUAUGAUGAGACUGGUCUCAGCACUUCAAGGUGCUUUUGCCCUGGUCCUGAGCUAGGUUGGCCUCAGUCCCUGGAGGUAAAUUUGUACUCAGUGUGCAGUUGACUGUGAGCCUUACUUUCCAAGACGAAUUGAAGGUCUUUCCCCCUUCUUCCCCUUCUCCUCUGCUUCCACCCUUGAUUCGUGUUAAGUGUUCUAUAGCUGGGCUAACAAAUCACCACGCCUUCUGUGGUUUUAAAACAACACAAAUUUAUUAUCUCGCAGUUCUGGAGGUCUCAGAAGUCUGACAUUAUUUUGACUCGAUUAAGAUUAGGUGUAGGCAGUCCUGCAUUCCUUCUGGAAGAUAAGCGAAGGAGCUGUUUCCAUGCCUUUUCCGGCCGCUAGAGGCUGCCUGCAUUUCUUGGCUUGUGGUCCCUUACCCUAUCUUCACAGCCAGGAGCGUGGCAUCUUGUGUCCUCUCUGCCCUCUACUUAUGUCCUUACAUCUUGUCCACAACCCUCUUCAGUCAUCAUCUCUAUUCUCAGGACCUGUGACACCAUUCUAAAUGAUUCUUUCAAGCAGUUGUGGCAAAUACACAAAAUUUAGUGUUGGUCAUGUAUUUCAGAUCACUGGAGCCGGGUUGUUGGCUCUUCUCAGCUGUGAGGCAGGCACUGCUCCACUGUGUAACCACAAGCUCCAUGGACGCACAGUCAGCUGUAGCAGGGGCCUGGAGCUCCUCUUACCAGGCAUGAUGUGAGGGGACAGUACACCCAUCCUUCUCCCAGAGAAGGGAGAUUUAGGGACCCAGGUGCUCAAGUUACUCUUUCCAAAGAAAGUUUCCAUGAAAGGAAAAAGUUUAGACAAAAUAAAUUUUACAGAGUUUGAGCAUUAAGGCAUUCAGCAAUCGGGCAGCACUCAGACACAGAAGAGAUGCAGAGAGCUCUGCUCCAGCAGACUGAACAGCAAGCUUUUGCAGGCUGACCAUGAAAACAAAGGAAUUACUCAACUGACUCCAGCCAGGCCUCAUUUGAGUAUGAUCUUGUGAAAAGUCCCUACUUACAUAACUAACAGCUAGUUGGCUGUGUGUGACCAGUUGCUAGUUGGCUGCUUGUGAUAGAGUACUAGUUGGCUGCCUGUGAUUGGUUGCUAAUUAGCUGUUUGUGGCUGGGUGUUUGAGAUUGGUUCCCAGUUGGCCGUUUGUGAUUGACUACUAGUUGAUUGUUAGUGACCGCUUACUGGUUUGCUACUCGUGAUUGGUUGCUGGUUGGCUUUUUAUAAUUAAUCAUUAGUUGGCUGCUGGUGUCUGGUUGUUACUUAGCUGUUUGUGAUUGGUUGCUAGUUGGCUGUUUGUGAUUGGUUGCUAGUUGGUUGUUUGUGAAUGGUUGCUAGUUCACUGAUUGGUUGCUAGUUGGUUGUGACUGGUUGCUAGUUGGCUGUUUCUGAUUGGCUGAUUAUUGGUUGUUGUCUCCCCCCCACCACUCCCAACCCCCCCCCAAAAAAAUAAUAAUAAUCAGUUUCAAGAAAUGCUUCCAAGUUGAACUUUGGUUUGCCUGUGUAAGUGUUCCAGGUACAGAACCAACCCCAGGCUAAUGGCCUCCUGGAUAUUUUGCUUUAGCACCUCCAAUUUCCAAAUAAAUUUCCAUCUUCAACUUUAGUACUUGCCCAUGCAAGAGUAAAUAAAAAAGUGAUUCUUUUUCUAACUCCUUUGCAAAUGAGGAAGUUGACACAUAAAUGAUCUUAGACUCUCAGUGGAAUCCUAGAGAAAAGGAAUUCCAUUUUUGCAUCCUGUCAUACACAGUCAUUUCUGCUGCUGGAGUGCCACAUGUGUUCCUAAAAAUCGCUGCAAUCUACAGAAUUGUGUAAUAAAAAACUACUGGGUUUGGCUGGGUGUCGUGGCUCAUGGCCUAUUCCUAGAAUUCUAAGCCACCCUGUCAUUAUUGUAGUUGCCAUACACACAAAUACUAUAUUUAUAUAUAAAGAACCAUAAUUUUAAAGGAUAGAACUUAAAUAAAAAUUAUCUGACCUUGUGUCAUUAUAAUUGCUUUAGAAGUUUUGCUUUAAAAUUACUCAAUCAUGCUUAACUUACAUGGUUUUACCAUUAAUUCAGUUCCGUAAUUUCUUAUCAACAAUUUAUCAAUCCAGGCCUAAAAAGUGUUUUCCUCAAUCCGGGGGAAAAAAGUGUAUUCGGAGACAACCUGCCCCGCACUGACAGGAGGAUGCUUUUAGUCUUUACUGAUCCCACUUCGUAUGAAUACUUUUAUGUUUCACUCCAGGAAUAUUGACCGAUUUGUGUAAAGGGUGCUGCCUCGGACCCCACUGGGGUCCUACACAGUGGAGAGUGCGUGUAAUUUGUUACUUUUCUAUAAACCAAAAAUUCCUGACUUUCAAAACACAUUGAGCCCAAGGGGGAUAAGGAAUUGAAAGCCUGCACGCUUUUCAAAGCAUUUUUCCCGUCAAGCAGGUAACGUGUGUGAGGUUUUAGUGCAGCUGCUGCAGAGGUUGCUGGGGUCCCUAAAUGUGCUCUCCUCUUAGCGCUUGGCUGCACCCAAUACCUAGCCAUUUUCGCAGACACCUGGACCGGAUGAGCAGUGGAACCUGAGGCAAGGAGAUGCUGAAGCUUCUGCGUCAUCCGGGUAAAGAACAGCCUCUCGCCAGGCACGGUGGCUCACGCCUGUAAUCUAGCACUUUGGGAGGCCGAGGCAAGCGAAUCACCUGAGGUCGGGAGUUUGACACCAGCCUGACCAACAUGGAGAAACCCUGUCUCUGCUAAAAAUACAAAAUUAGCUGGUCAUGGUGGUGCAUGCCUGUAAUCCCAGCUACUCAGGAGGCUAAGGCAGAAGAAUCGCUUGAACCCGGGAAGCGGAGUUUGCAGUAGGCCAAGAUCACGCCAUUGCAAUCCAGCCUGGGUAACAAGAGCAAAACUCGAAAGAAAGAGAGAAGGAAAGAAGGAAAGAAGAAGGAAAGAAAGAAAGAAAGAACAGCCUCUCGCUCUGAACUUCCAGGCUCCCUUACCUGCCCAGCUUCUAGCAGCUUGAAGUGGUCAUGACUGAAGCUGACUUUAAAACCCUGUGCUGGGUGUGGCGGAGACACUCUGCUAGUCCCAGUUCCUGAAUGACUCUGUGGAGCAGAGACCACUAAUUCACCAAGAAAGGUUACCUGAGAGAAAGUUUUCUGCUGUUUAAUCUACACUAUUUGGGGUUAUCUUUGGUAUAGCACCUGGCCUUUACCUAUUAUGAGAUCAUCAACAUCCAGUUAGCACAUAGUGACUUAAUGAGGUUUCAUUAUUUCUUUCAGAAAAAGAAAAUUU
Molecule: long non-coding RNA, 4680 nt
Filed under: Homo sapiens (human)
Lineage: Eukaryota; Metazoa; Chordata; Mammalia; Primates; Hominidae
Description: HSALNT0082467
Source: RNAcentral